CGCCCUAGUUCCGUUUCGCCCUGAUACCUGUUCGCCCUGGGUAUUUUUAUUUUUUUUAUUAUAGUGUUGUGUUGUGUGUAUUUAAUUGAAUAUGGUGAAGUCAGCCUACAAUUUCGCCGAAUAUUUACGAUUUUUAUUUUUUAGUAUAGCGUUGUGUUGUGUGUAUUUAAUUAAAUAUGUUGAAGUUGGUCUACAAUUUUGCCGAAUAUUUACGAUGUAUUAUGUUGUCUACAGCUAGCUGCUACUAGGUUAUAAGUUCAUGCCUAACAAUUUGUACAUCAGUGUUUUUACCCAUCCAAGCUGACUAUUUUAUUUGAGAAAAAUGUUAUUUUCAUUAU
This 338-nucleotide long non-coding RNA is filed under the name Mytilus galloprovincialis (Mediterranean mussel). Lineage: Eukaryota; Metazoa; Mollusca; Bivalvia; Mytilida; Mytilidae. The record is from RNAcentral.